CAAGUUAGUCGAAUGGCCGCAUCGCAAGAUGAGGAAAGUCCGAGCAUCGCAGGGCAAGGGUGCAGGGUAACUCCCUGUAAAGGCGACUUUAAGGAAAGUGCAACAGAAAAUAACCGCCCGCAAGGGUAAGGGUGAAAAGGUGAGGUAAGAGCUCACCGGCGACCCGGCGACGGCAAGCCGUGUAAACCCCACUCGAUGCAAGAGAGUAAGGACAGAUGGGUAGCCCGCCCGUCCUUCAAAUCGCUUGAGCGUAUAGGCAACUAUGCGCCUAGACAGAUGGCCAUUUAAGACAGAACUCGGCUUACAGACUAACCUUGCUAC
RNAcentral lists this RNase P RNA (321 nucleotides) under Clostridiales bacterium. Its description in RNAcentral is "RNase P RNA component class A". It matches the Rfam family "Bacterial RNase P class A". From Rfam's summary of the family: Ribonuclease P (RNase P) is a ubiquitous endoribonuclease, found in archaea, bacteria and eukarya as well as chloroplasts and mitochondria. Its best characterised activity is the generation of mature 5'-ends of tRNAs by cleaving the 5'-leader elements of precursor-tRNAs. Cellular RNase Ps are ribonucleoproteins. Lineage: Bacteria; Bacillati; Bacillota; Clostridia; Eubacteriales. The record is from RNAcentral.